GAACACUGGAAUACAUCAACUCGCCCAUCUCUGUGUCCCCCCUCCUGUCCAACCAAGGCAAGCCUGCACACCGACAUCACGGAAGGAACAACGCACACACGCACUCACACACACACACACAUAUCUCUAGAGAGGCAUCUCCACAUACGUCACCACCUCUCUUCCACAUGUCCAUUCCGCUCGUCGCAAGCGGCAAGACGGUGAAGGAGGACAGCGAGCUCUUUUUCUCCGUCACACGUGACUUCUCCGUGCCAGGCGUCAGCAGCCAGUAUCAGACACCGCUUGCGUUCAACCAGCUCAUGCGCAGUCGUCUGCGGCAGCGCAACCGGUUCAACCAUGAUCACCACGACACGUGUGCGUACAUUGAACGGUCAAAGAACGCCAACGUGGUGGCGUACACAGCAAACCUUGUCGAUGCAGCCACACAGAAGAGGGUGGGAUCUGGCAUCGGGCGGCAGUGCGUGCCGUACCGCGACCACCCUUUGCACGCGUACUUUGUGAGCCUCGAGCCAUCCUAUCUGGAGGAGCGUCGCCGCAAGGGGAUCGAGUACGACUGCGACGAACUCAGCAUUCUUGAGCGGACGCUGGCGUACGGCUGCUCAGCGACGCCGGUGAAUACGGAGAGCGUUCUGCGGUACUGGAGCAAACACACACCAGAGGCGUUCGCAGCUCUCCAGGAGGAGUGGAAGGCAGAUGAUAGCGUUGGCAUCCCUGCCGAGAAUCAGGCCACGGCGUAUGGCGAGCAUCAAGGCGCGAAGGGUGUCUCAGCAGCAGGUGGCGCGACUGCGGCGCCUCCGUCGGCGAAUGCGCUCACGGCGGAGUCGCUCGACGCGGCACUCAAGACGUGGUGGGCACCGUUCCACCCGUACAUCUCGCACUUCGUGGCUCUUCCCACCUGGCCCGGUCUUAUCGUGUACCUGCCACCGGUGGCUAAGGUUGGCUCCAGCCGGCGUAGUAGUGUUGCUGCGGUAGAGUCGCCGGCGUCUGCCACGUCGGCAGCGCAGACUUCGACCUCAACCGACCAAGCUCGUGCCGCCAACACGACAGAGGCGGAGCCACCAAUGGUGGACACGACGAACAUCACAUACGGCAACCACACGGAGCCGGCCGAGGCGACAGCGACUUCCGGCGUUCUGUCGGACGAGGACACCGUUGUCGCCAUUAUUACCCGCAUCGACGGCGAGCUCAGCGUGCUAGAGAAGGUGUACGUGAAGAGCAUUGAGCCGAAGCGGUUUUACAACCUGCCCAAGGUGGAGUACAUCGAGGUGUUUGGCGUGUCCCUGGCAACCGGCAAAGAGACCUACGAGAAGAAGACUUGCUAGAGAAAGAGGGGAGAGGCAGUGAACUGAGGUGAAGCACAGAGAAGCGGAAGGAUCGGCGUCGGCUGGAGGGGCGACCGCCUCUUCAUUUCUUCUGUUGCUCCGUGCGUCACUAGGCGCCUGUGUGCUUGAGCACGACAUGUAUUGUUGCCGCCAGUCCAUCCCCGCGCUCGCUCUUUCUCCCUCGUCUGAUAAGAUCCUGCGCUUUGCUAUUUUUCCGGCGAGUGUGCGCUCUCUUCUAUCACGCGCAUCGCAUCGAUCAUCGUUGCGGCCCCCCUCUCCCCCCCACUCGCCACUCGCCACCUGCUUGCUUGCUUGCUUCCAUCUCUCGCUCUCUGCUGCAUGUCUUGCUGCGAUGAGUAUAGUUUAUAUGUUGUUUCUCUUUUCUUUCUUUUAUGUACGCUCUGCGCAUCACAGAGGGCUUGGCGGCGCUGAUGCGGCGGCGGAGAGGGCCGUGUACGGCGGCUUCUCACUCUCGCUCUGUCUUGUCCCGUGCUGAGGCUGCGCUCUCCCUCCUUCUCCCCCCCCCCCCACACACACACACACGGAUGGACGCACACGCCACAGGCGAACACGCAGCGACACGCAUGAAGAGGCUGCCAGCUGUGACAGCCCGCUGCUUCGAUCGCCCUCCCUUGACUACGAGCACCUCUGCUGCUUCGCAAACCUUCUGCUUUUUAGUUUUGCGUUGCUGUUUAGAUCGUUGACGUGUGUGCUUGUCUUUGUGGGCUCGCCAGGAUCCUCUCGGCGAAACUGUCCCAUUCACAUCAAUGACCACAGGCUCCCCAUUCCUCAGCUGCAUCCUAUGGUUGGCCCGCUGAGCUCAUACACCCUAAGCACUGUCUAGACGCUUUCGUGAAAGCGAGCCCAGCUACGAAACCUAAGCGCGCGUACACAUGCAACACAUCAACAGCGGUCCCUCCUUAAGCUGCGUCUCUCUCUCUCUUUGCUGAGGUGUGCAAUGAGUGUGCGUCCCAGCAGCCACGUGGAGCUGCGAUUCGGCGCCGCCGGUGCAGUAUGACA
This 2342-nucleotide unclassified non-coding RNA is filed under the name Leishmania donovani. RNAcentral's name for it is "gene:LdHU3.21.1100(CDS-product:hypothetical_prote in_conserved)". The record is from RNAcentral. Lineage: Eukaryota; Euglenozoa; Kinetoplastea; Trypanosomatida; Trypanosomatidae.